UUUUAUUAGAAUUAAUUAAUAAUAAAUCCUGCUCAAUGAAAAUUAAAUAGCCGCUUUUGUGCUAAGGUAGCAUAAUAAUUUGUCUUUUAAUUAAAGACUAGAACAAAAGGUUUAACAUCUCAAUUAAUAUUUUAUAAAAAACUUUUUAAAUUAUUUUAAUUGUAAAAAAACAAUUUUUAAAAAGAAAGACGAUAAGACCCUAUCGAACUUUACUUUAGUUUAACUGGGGAAGUUAAUUAAUUAUCAUUUUAAUUUAAAAAAAUAUACAAUUUGACCUAAUACUAUUAACAAUAUAAUUAAGUUACCGUAGGGAUAACAGCGUAAUAAAAUUUCUAAGAUCUUAUUUAAAAUAAAGAUUGCGACCUCGAUNUUGAUUUAAUAACCUAAUUAACGCAAUAGUUAAUUAAGGAAGUCUGUUCGACUUUUAAAAAAUUACA
This 437-nucleotide ribosomal RNA is filed under the name Pardosa mirzakhaniae. RNAcentral's name for it is "partial small subunit ribosomal RNA". Lineage: Eukaryota; Metazoa; Arthropoda; Arachnida; Araneae; Lycosidae. The record is from RNAcentral.